AUGCAAAAGGCUUGCCUCCAGGUUACAACAACACAACCACACCACAAAACCACAAUCCAGACCCACAAAACUCACAACAAUGCAUCAUGUGAUAACAACACAACUAAACACCCCAGAAAUACAAAACUUGGCAACACAAUGCAAAAGCCUUGCCUCCCAGUUGUAACAACACAACCACACCACAAAACCACACAGGACCCACAAAACUCACAACAACGCAUUGUGACUAUAACAAAUACAAAACUUGGCAACACAACACAAAAGCCUUGCCUCUCAGUUGUAACAACACAACCACACCACAAAACCACAAUCUGGACCCACAAAACUCACAACAACGCAUUGUGACUAUAACAAAUACAAAAUCUGACAACACAACUCAUCCACCUCCCCAAUCCCUACAUUCACACUUGGCCUCCAAAAAAACAAUUACAAUAAUAACAAUUACAACAACAACAACAAUAAGAAUCAACACCAUCACAGGCAAGAAGCAGCCAGGCACUGAGGCUGAGAGGCCAGUCAGUGCUACACUGGGCCUCCAAAAAACAAUACAGUAGCAUCUAACUUAUCCAACCUUCAUGACCACUACAACAACAACAAUAAUAAACACCUACACAGGCAAAACAAAAAAAAGACUAUUGUACCACAAUAAAAAUAUAAACCGCACUCAGCAGAAUCAGACAUUACAAUUAACAACAAACCAAAGACAACAGGGAUCUCAAGCAAUUAUCAAUCAACACAAAAAUUGAAGAAGGUAACAGACUUCAAAUACUACUACUAAUGUGAGUAUAAAGAAGGGUGGAGGUCACAGCAUAAAUACAACCUAAUGUAGACUGACCAACACCACCAGACUAAGCCACAGCAACGCGUGGCCGGGCACAGCUAGUCUAUAUAUAUAAAAGGGUAAUGAAAUUUCGGCCUAGGACAAAACAACAAAACUACACAUCCCAGAAACACUAAACGUGGCAGCACAACCACUCAUCCAUGACUCUACGUUCAUACAACAAAAAGCUCCAGCUACUCCAGAAAACAGCCAGGCUUUGAGACUGCAAGGCCAUUCACUACUAUUCCACCUGGCUAACAAAUGAUUCCCAUAAGCCACAGCAACGCGUGGCCGGGCAAAGCUAGUAUUUAUAUAUGUCUCCUCUCAGUCUUCUCUUCUGUAGGCUAAACAUGCCCAGCUCUUACAGCCGCUCCUCAUAGGGCAGUGGUUCUCAACCUGUGGGUCCCCAGAUGUUUUGGCCUUCAACUCCCAGGGGCCUUCCACACAGCCCUAUAUCCCAGAAUAUCAAGGCAGAAAAUCCCCCAACAUCUGCUUUGAACUGGGUUAUCUGAGUCCACACUCAGAUAAUGUGGGAUUUUCUGCCUUGAUAUUCUGGGAUAUAGGGCUGUGUGGAAGAGCCUCAAAAUUCUAACAACUGGUAAACUGGCUGGGAUUUCAGGUAGUUGUAGGCCAAAACACCUGGGGAUCCACCGGUUGAGAACCACAGUGGGGCAGAGAGUUCCACUGCUGAACAGUUCUCACAGUGAGGUUCUUCCUAAUGUUCAGGUGGAAUCUGCUUUCUUGCAGUUUGAAGCCAUUGUUCUGCGUCCUACUCUCCAGAGCAGCAGAAAACAAGCUUGUUCCCCCCUCCCUAUGACUUCCCCUCACAUAUUGAUACAUGGCCCUCAUUAUGUCUCCUCUCAGCCUUCUCUUCUGCAGGCUAAACAUGUCCAGCUCUUUAACCCGCUUCUCACAGGGCUUGUUCUCCAGACCCUUGAUCAUUUUAGUCUCCC
Long non-coding RNA from Anolis carolinensis (green anole), 1773 nucleotides. NCBI's taxonomy places the organism in Eukaryota, Metazoa, Chordata, Lepidosauria, Squamata, Anolidae. The record is from Ensembl.